AUCAGUGAUGGUCCUAGAAAAAAAAACUUGAUUAAUUUGUUCUUACCCCAACAUCAUCAAUACAUUGUUUUUUAAAUUAAUUAUAACUUUUGUUUUUUAACGUAUUGCAAGUUGCUUUCAAGAAAAGUUCUGGACAUUAAAUAGCUUCAUUAUUAUGUGUAUGAAUGGUAACAUGUCAUAGAUAUGAUAUGAGAGUUGGUUUCAAAUUAGUACGUUGUCAUUAAUUACAAAAAAAAAAAGAAAAACUGUAGGGUUCUUGAUUGAAUAAUUCAUAGAAUAGUGGAAAUAAUAAUGUAAUUUCUACUGAUUUAUUUUUACCAAUCAUAAUGACAUAUUCGAAGAUUUUGCUAUAUUUACAACCAACGGACCAAAAUAGAAUUAAUAAUUUAUACUCAUUCUAAAGUUUUUUCAGCUACAUAAAUUUUGACCAUUUAAUGAUAUAGUCUUUUUAUUAUGUAUACAGUUAUACUUUUUUUUUUCUUUCAAAUUUUCGUAGUUCUACUAUUUUUCAUAAUCUAAACCAUUUUCAUUAACACACUCUCUCCAUCUUGUACUAUACAAAACAACAUAUAUAUGAUGAGUUUUAUGAGCCGGCCAACAGAGUUUAAAAGGUUGUAUCAGUCGCAGAUUGGUACCGGUAGGAAACAAAAGCCAAGUAACGAUGUCAGCCACUUAUUGUUGCAUAAUAUAAAAGUUUCAAAUCUGUCACUAUGUAGAGACAUAUAUCUCCUCGUAACAUGACUUUAACUGAUGA
RNAcentral lists this long non-coding RNA (754 nucleotides) under Capsella rubella. RNAcentral describes it as "long non-coding RNA (CRUB_LNC001873)". The record is from RNAcentral. Lineage: Eukaryota; Viridiplantae; Streptophyta; Magnoliopsida; Brassicales; Brassicaceae.